GCCACAUAGCUCGGGAUUGUUCUGUAGCAAAACCAAGUUCAACAGGGAUGGUGACUCCAAGGGUUGUCCCGGAUAAGUCGAAAUCAGCGGUUCCUGGAAGAGCGUUUGUCGUGACUGGCCAAAACGUGAGGAACCCGAACGAGGUGAUCACGGGUAAGCUAAUCUUGAACUCUUGCGAAGUUUAUACCUUACUAGAUACCGGUUCUACCCAUUCUUUUAUCUCUCCUACUUGUGCUCAACGUUUAAACUUG
RNAcentral lists this long non-coding RNA (251 nucleotides) under Panax ginseng (ginseng). Its description in RNAcentral is "long non-coding RNA (PGIN_LNC018674)". The record is from RNAcentral. Lineage: Eukaryota; Viridiplantae; Streptophyta; Magnoliopsida; Apiales; Araliaceae.